This 497-nucleotide ribosomal RNA is filed under the name uncultured bacterium. RNAcentral describes it as "bacterial SSU rRNA". It matches the Rfam family "Bacterial small subunit ribosomal RNA", at positions 28 to 518 of the family's 1533-position model. The record is from RNAcentral.
GACGAACGCUGGCGGCGUGGAUUAGGCAUGCAAGUCGAACGGUAUCAUCCUUUCGGGGGUGAGAGAGUGGCGAACUGGUGAGUAACACGUAGGUUAUCUACCCUCAAGACGGGGACAACCCAGGGAAACUUGGGCUAAUACCGGAUGAAAGCAGCAGUGAUGUUGUUUGAAAGGUGGCGUAAGCUGCCGUUUGGGGAUGAGCCUGCGCUCUAUUAGUUAGUUGGCGGGGUAAAGGCCCACCAAGGCGAUGAUAGAUAGGCGGCCUUAACGGGUGGUCGCCCACACUGGGAUUGAGAUACGGCCCAGACUCCUACGGGAGGCAGCAGUCGAGAAUAGUCUACAAUGGCCGAAAGGCUGAUAGUGCGACGCCGCGUGAACGAAGAAGCCCUUCGGGGUGUAAAGUUCUUUUAUAUGUGAGCAGUGCUUUCUAUGUGAACAGCAUGGGAGAGAGAUAUUAGCAUAUGAAUAAGCAAGGCUAACUCCGUGCCAGCAGACCC